Molecule: long non-coding RNA, 859 nt
Filed under: Olea europaea subsp. europaea
Lineage: Eukaryota; Viridiplantae; Streptophyta; Magnoliopsida; Lamiales; Oleaceae
Source: RNAcentral
ACCUAGUCAAUACCUAAUUUUUGCAACCUGUCAAUUAGAUGUUGAAACUAUUAAAGAUCAUCAUAAAGUAAUCCACUACCUUUGGUAGAUUACGAUUUCUCAGAUCAUGCAAAAGUUCAAAGAGUUGAGAAGAGGGGAGAAGGGCAUGGAUGGUUGCAUUGAGAAAGCAUAGAUUCCCCAAGUUGAUUGAAAAUCUUUAGCAAUUGAAUAUGGCCCAUUUGAUGCCUGGGUAAUACUUUCGUUGGAAUCGACUAUGUCAAAACCUUCUGUCUAAUAUUCCAAAACUCCAUCGUCCAAGAAGGAUGACAAUUCAGUAACUUUCUCACAACUGGGCUGCUGUAUGCUUUGCUGGAAACACAUAGGCUUCAGUUCUUUUGAGAUAUUACCCUCAACCGGACUUGUAUAGUUGGCGCACCCAUUUCCCUGCACAAUAGGGACUUCCAAGUGUGACGUGUUUUCAGCAUUUCUAGGAAUCCUAAGAGUAUUUUCUAUUUGAGCUGGCUUCAACUGCGCAUACCCUUUAAGGGAAUAAAUCUCUAUCAGACUAGUAUUUGAAAUGCCCACGGAUCUUCAAGUUACUGAAUCCAAAGAACCAAAUGUGAUUUCUGUAUUAUUCUGUGACGGCUCGCACUUACAGAGUCUUUACUUCUCUUCUGUAAAUGAUCCAAAAAUCAACACCUGACGAUAAAAACAAUUAACUACAGAAACGAUAAAAGUCAUCUCUCUUAUGAACUAUUACAAUUAGUAACAUAGAUACACGUGCACAUCCUUUGACGGUUUAAGCUUUGUAUUUUCAAAGAAUAAGAUCUCAAUAAUAAAUCAACUAAAGGGAUACAAGCAUUUAGCAUACUGAGCAAAG